AACGCACAUUGCGCCCCUUGGUAUUCCAUGGGGCAUGCCUGUUCGAGCGUCAUUUGUACCUUCAAGCUUUGCUUGGUGUUGGGUGUUUGUCCUGAGGGACUCGCCUUAAAGUAAUUGGCAGCCAGUGUUUUGGUUUUGAAGCGCAGCACAAGUCGCGAUUCAAAGCUAUACGCCAGCUUCCACAAGCCUUUUUCACUUUUGACCUCGGAUCAGGUAGGGAUACCCGCUGAACUUAA
This 236-nucleotide unclassified non-coding RNA is filed under the name Paraphoma sp. RNAcentral describes it as "partial contains 5.8S ribosomal RNA, internal transcribed spacer 2, and large subunit ribosomal RNA". Lineage: Eukaryota; Fungi; Ascomycota; Dothideomycetes; Pleosporales; Phaeosphaeriaceae. The record is from RNAcentral. RNAcentral also lists the same sequence under 1 other name.